RNAcentral lists this ribosomal RNA (1087 nucleotides) under Salmonella enterica. Its description in RNAcentral is "bacterial SSU rRNA". It matches the Rfam family "Bacterial small subunit ribosomal RNA", at positions 1 to 1082 of the family's 1533-position model. The record is from RNAcentral. Lineage: Bacteria; Pseudomonadati; Pseudomonadota; Gammaproteobacteria; Enterobacterales; Enterobacteriaceae.
GAAGAGUUUGAUCAUGGCUCAGAUUGAACGCUGGCGGCAGGCCUAACACAUGCAAGUCGAACGGUAACAGGAAGCAGCUUGCUGCUUUGCUGACGAGUGGCGGACGGGUGAGUAAUGUCUGGGAAACUGCCUGAUGGAGGGGGAUAACUACUGGAAACGGUGGCUAAUACCGCAUAACGUCGCAAGACCAAAGAGGGGGACCUUCGGGCCUCUUGCCAUCAGAUGUGCCCAGAUGGGAUUAGCUUGUUGGUGAGGUAACGGCUCACCAAGGCGACGAUCCCUAGCUGGUCUGAGAGGAUGACCAGCCACACUGGAACUGAGACACGGUCCAGACUCCUACGGGAGGCAGCAGUGGGGAAUAUUGCACAAUGGGCGCAAGCCUGAUGCAGCCAUGCCGCGUGUAUGAAGAAGGCCUUCGGGUUGUAAAGUACUUUCAGCGGGGAGGAAGGUGUUGUGGUUAAUAACCGCAGCAAUUGACGUUACCCGCAGAAGAAGCACCGGCUAACUCCGUGCCAGCAGCCGCGGUAAUACGGAGGGUGCAAGCGUUAAUCGGAAUUACUGGGCGUAAAGCGCACGCAGGCGGUCUGUCAAGUCGGAUGUGAAAUCCCCGGGCUCAACCUGGGAACUGCAUUCGAAACUGGCAGGCUUGAGUCUUGUAGAGGGGGGUAGAAUUCCAGGUGUAGCGGUGAAAUGCGUAGAGAUCUGGAGGAAUACCGGUGGCGAAGGCGGCCCCCUGGACAAAGACUGACGCUCAGGUGCGAAAGCGUGGGGAGCAAACAGGAUUAGAUACCCUGGUAGUCCACGCCGUAAACGAUGUCUACUUGGAGGUUGUGCCCUUGAGGCGUGGCUUCCGGAGCUAACGCGUUAAGUAGACCGCCUGGGGAGUACGGCCGCAAGGUUAAAACUCAAAUGAAUUGACGGGGGCCCGCACAAGCGGUGGAGCAUGUGGUUUAAUUCGAUGCAACGCGAAGAACCUUACCUGGUCUUGACAUCCACAGAACUUUCCAGAGAUGGAUUGGUGCCUUCGGGAACUGUGAGACAGGUGCUGCAUGGCUGUCGUCAGCUCGUGUUGUGAAAUGUUGGGUUA